Anolis carolinensis (green anole) is the source of this 86-nucleotide microRNA precursor. Ensembl annotates it as aca-mir-1397. The record is from Ensembl. Lineage: Eukaryota; Metazoa; Chordata; Lepidosauria; Squamata; Anolidae.
CUGUGAUGUGUGCAUUGCAUUGCGAUGGGUUACAUCACUGGUCAUAGCAUGAUGUAACCCAACGCAGCAUGGUGUAAGCAUCGUAA